GCCCGGCCCCGGGGCCGCUAUUUUUAGUGGGGCCGGAUUCCUGCCCGGCCCUGUCCCCGUCCCCUGCGGCACCGGACAGCUGGGGACAGCCGGGGACAGCUCGGCUUUCGGCGGCCAGCCCUCUGCCCCGGGCACCGCGCUGCGGGACAGCGGCUGAGUCAGUGGGUGAUGAUGAAACACGGCGUGGGAUGAAGGCUCAUGCCCACCGCACGUGGUGCCUGCGGAUCAAGCGCGGGACCACUGAAUGGAAACGGAAUGGGGAAGGAGAGAUUCUCUGGUUCAGCUGAGCCAGCAUUGUCAGAAGCAGCUUAUGAACCCCAGCAAGAUUUCAGUUGUCCAAUACAACUUAGCCCUGAUUUUCAAA
Melospiza melodia melodia is the source of this 364-nucleotide long non-coding RNA. RefSeq lists it as uncharacterized. The transcript is spliced from 2 exons. Lineage: Eukaryota; Metazoa; Chordata; Aves; Passeriformes; Passerellidae. The record is from RefSeq and is a predicted model, not a curated record.